AGGCCUCGCUGUUCUCUAUGGCUUUUUAUUCCUAUGUGAUUCUACUGCUCACUCAUAUAGGGAUUGGAGCCGUGGCGCACGGCGGGGACA
Aotus nancymaae (Ma's night monkey) is the source of this 90-nucleotide microRNA precursor. The record is from Ensembl. NCBI's taxonomy places the organism in Eukaryota, Metazoa, Chordata, Mammalia, Primates, Aotidae.